AGAGGAAGGUUGGAAACUUAAUAAAGCUCUCCAUAUUUUCAAAGCUCAAGUGCUCUCAAUUCUCUACCCUACCCAAGUCCUAGACCCUGCUGCCUACUUUGCUCACUUACAAUCUCUCUCAAUUCUCAUCUAAGCUUACUUAGUUCGACUUUGUCAAGCAAGUUAACUAAGUGUCACGCGACUUCACUAACCUCUAAGUCGAAGUUUUGUGACACUAAGCUUUGCAUGAGCUCAAGCUACCACCCGCAAACUGGUGGCCAAACCGAGGUUGUGAACCACGCUGGAGCAAUACUUAUGAUGUUUUGCAGGUGACCAACCAAAGAAAUGGUUUGAAUGGAUACCUUGGGCUGAGUUCAGUUAUAAUACUUCAAUUCAUUCCUCCACCAAAAUAACACAUUUUGAAGCUGUUUAUGGUGUUCCUCCACCAAAUUUACUGGCUUAUAUUUCGGGCACUUCCUGCAUUCAAGCAGUUGAUGAGUAUCUACGUGAUCAUGGCAUUAUUUUGCAACUGCUAUGUUAUAAUCUCUCUGUGGCUAGUCAGCGAAUGAAAAGUCAAGCAGAUAAAAAAUGACGUGAAAUCUUCUUUGAAAUUGGUGAUUUUAUGUAUCUUAAGCUCCAACCUUAUCGACAAUCUUCAAUAGCUUUUUGUGCUUAAAUGAAGCUUGCCCCGCGUUUUUUUGGUCCUUAUCAGAUUAUUGAAAAAGUGGGUACAGUAGCAUAUAGUUUCCAGUCAACUUCCACCAGUAUCAGAUGAUUCUAUCAUUCUUCCACAACCUGAAGUUAUACUUGAUCGGCAAGUCAUUCAAAAGGGAAAAUACCGACCAAAGUCUGAAAUUUUAGUCCAAUGGAAGGGAGCUCUAAAGGAAGAUGCUGCUUGGGAGAACGAAUGGCGUUUUACAAAGUCUUAUCCAGAUUUUCUCUUUGCGGGCAAGGAUCUUUAAGGAGGGAGGAAUAAUAUGUGACCAACCCUGCUUUCCACGUCCAAGACUUAGUCGGUAGCUAAUAAGUUAGUGAAUACUAAAUUUUAACAUGAUAUUUUCCUUUGGUAUUUGCAGAUAUGCAAUUCCUAACUUAUAGCAUUAUGGUUAUUUUCCAGUUGUAACACUAUUAUAAAUAGUUAGAAUUAUGAUCAAUAGAGAAGGGAGAAUCCCAGAAAUCUUCUUUUA
This is a long non-coding RNA of Ricinus communis (castor bean), 1166 nucleotides long. RefSeq lists it as uncharacterized. The transcript has 2 exons. Lineage: Eukaryota; Viridiplantae; Streptophyta; Magnoliopsida; Malpighiales; Euphorbiaceae. The record is from RefSeq and is a predicted model, not a curated record.